RNAcentral lists this transfer RNA (72 nucleotides) under Sphingobacteriaceae bacterium. Its description in RNAcentral is "tRNA-Thr". It matches the Rfam family "tRNA". From Rfam's summary of the family: Transfer RNA (tRNA) molecules are approximately 80 nucleotides in length. Their secondary structure includes four short double-helical elements and three loops (D, anti-codon, and T loops). Further hydrogen bonds mediate the characteristic L-shaped molecular structure. tRNAs have two regions of fundamental functional importance: the anti-codon, which is responsible for specific mRNA codon recognition, and the 3' end, to which the tRNAs corresponding amino acid is attached (by aminoacyl-tRNA synthetases). tRNAs cope with the degeneracy of the genetic code in two manners: having more than one tRNA (with a specific anti-codon) for a particular amino acid; and 'wobble' base-pairing, i.e. permitting non-standard base-pairing at the 3rd anti-codon position. The record is from RNAcentral. Lineage: Bacteria; Pseudomonadati; Bacteroidota; Sphingobacteriia; Sphingobacteriales; Sphingobacteriaceae. RNAcentral also lists the same sequence under 1 other name.
GCCGUUGUAGCUCAGUGGUAGAGCACUUCCUUGGUAAGGAAGAGGUCGACAGUUCAAUUCUGUUCAACGGCU